Molecule: long non-coding RNA, 1698 nt
Organism: Syngnathus acus (greater pipefish)
Lineage: Eukaryota; Metazoa; Chordata; Actinopteri; Syngnathiformes; Syngnathidae
Exons: 2
Source: RefSeq, a predicted model, not a curated record
AAUAGGAGAAAGAAGCACGCAGUACCAAGAACCCGAUACCGUUGGCUCUGAUUCGAGCAGAAGUCAGAUCCGAUCAUACCUGACCAAUAUAGUUUGACUGAACACAGAAGGACAUGUGAAGGAAAUGAGAGCUUCUGCAGGAGAACAUUGCAGUCACACCAGUGGAUCUGUCUGCCUAACUGGACCGACAACACCGAGGGAAGGGACAGAGCAGGAUGUUUUUCCUGAGAAGGCUGAGGUUGUUUAAUGUUUCUAAUAUGCUACUGAGAAUGUUUUACAGUGGUCUCCAGUGUCCUGUUCUUCGCCGGGAGCCUGCUGGGGAGGCAACAUCUGUGCCAGGGACUCUACCAGGCUGAACAAGUUGGUGAAGGCCACCUCUGUGGUGGGGACCAGGUUGGACAGCCUGGAGGUGGUGGUUGAACAGAGGAUGGGGGAAAAAACUGGCGGCCAUGUUGGCCAAUCCCUCCCAUCCACUGCACAUCGAGCUGACGGGGAUGAGGAGCAAAUUCAGCAACGGAUUUGUCCUCCCCCGUCAGAGCACAAAGAGAUUUGGACAGUCGUUUAUUCCAGCUGCACUCCGACUCUACAACCAGGCCCGCAGGCAUGGGGAGACCUGGAGGUAGAGUUGAUAGGCUAACUGACUUGGGACUUUUUAUCUGCACAUGAUGCACUUUAGCAAACUACCAGCUUGCACUGCAUAUUCAUUGGACCAGCAGUGUGUUUAUAGUUAUUGCAUUGUGAACUGUUUUUCUGUUUGUCUUCCUCUUUUUAAACGUCAUGAGCUGUUUGACAACUGAUUUUCCCCAGAGGGGACAAUAAAGGUUUCAAUCAAUCAAUCAAUGCCUACCUGCCCAUCUGUAUCACUUCACAGAAGCGUGUUCUAAUGUAACGGCACCAUAUAUAUUAGUAAAGCGUGAUAGCGGCCAGCUGGAUCUCUCCUCAUACCCAUAAAUGUUUGCUUUUGUUGUUGGAGCCCAUAUGACAAUACAUGUGUUUUUUUUGUUUUAUUGGCAGAUGUAUCUGCAACUUUGUGGUGCCAUUCACUCAUGAUUCAAACUUCAAAUCACAGCAAAAAACAAAUGGCAAACCUCACACAUUGGGUGACUGUUCAGGAGCAUUUAGUUGCGUCGCUUGCUGCGCAAUGGGUCCAAGGUGCUGAUCUGUGGCAAUGGAGGCUGAAUGGCAGAGAGGACGCCAGGUAUCUCAAUGAGUGGGAUUGUCAGGUUGCUUUGCAGUCAUGCCUUGCAUAGUCGUACGUUUAAACUUGUGAGAUUCUGAUUGGUAUCUGCUAUCAGAUGAAAUACACCCACCCAGUCCACUGCUCAACACAGAGUCAGGUCUUGUGUGCCUGGUACAGAUUGUGACGGAGUCAGUGGGAGAUAAAGAAAAUAAAAGUUCCCUAAAGGGCGGCUGUGUGUUUUGUAACUUUCAGCCUUUGAAGUGGGAAUACAUGCACACUAGUAUAUAUAAAUAUUAACCGUAUGAAUUCAAACAUUGAUUUUACAUUUGUUUCUCUUUGUAGGGUGAAAACUGUUACUUUAUUCCAGAGACCAGAACACCAUAGUGUAAAUGGAUGGAAAAAAAUUAGUCACAUUAUAUUCAGAUAUAGGUUUACUGUGUAUAUUGACCCACUGCAUAAGAGUGGUUUUAUAACUUUAAGUGCACACAUAAAGCAAAGCAUUGACUUCCUUUAUUAAA